This 492-nucleotide ribosomal RNA is filed under the name uncultured bacterium. RNAcentral's name for it is "partial 16S ribosomal RNA". It matches the Rfam family "Bacterial small subunit ribosomal RNA", at positions 29 to 507 of the family's 1533-position model. The record is from RNAcentral.
AGUGAACGCUGGCGGUAGGCCUAACACAUGCAAGUCGAACGGCAGCACAGUAAGAGCUUGCUCUUACGGGUGGCGAGUGGCGGACGGGUGAGGAAUACAUCGGAAUCUACUUUUUCGUGGGGGAUAACGUAGGGAAACUUACGCUAAUACCGCAUACGACCUACGGGUGAAAGCAGGGGAUCUUCGGACCUUGCGCGAUUGAAUGAGCCGAUGUCGGACUAGCUAGUUGGCGGGGUAAAGGCCCACCAAGGCGACGAUCCGUAGCUGGUCUGAGAGGAUGAUCAGCCACACUGGAACUGAGACACGGUCCAGACUCCUACGGGAGGCAGCAGUGGGGAAUAUUGGACAAUGGGCGCAAGCCUGAUCCAGCCAUACCGCGUGGGUGAAGAAGGCCUUCGGGUUGUAAAGCCCUUUUGUUGGGAAAGAAAAGCAGCAGGUUAAUACCCCGCUGUUCUGACGGUACCCAAAGAAUAAGCACCGGCUAACCUCGUG